This 69-nucleotide transfer RNA is filed under the name Rattus norvegicus (Norway rat). It matches the Rfam family "tRNA". From Rfam's summary of the family: Transfer RNA (tRNA) molecules are approximately 80 nucleotides in length. Their secondary structure includes four short double-helical elements and three loops (D, anti-codon, and T loops). Lineage: Eukaryota; Metazoa; Chordata; Mammalia; Rodentia; Muridae. The record is from Rfam by way of RNAcentral.
GGGGAUUUAGCUCAGUGGUAGAGCGCUUGCCUAGCAAGCGCAAGGCUCUGGGUUCGAUCCCCAGCUCCG